GGCCACAUCUCCUCUCCACGCCCCCCAACCCCACCUGGGGCCUGCAAACCGCCCUUCCCCCCCCCGCCCCCAGACCCCCAUCCCCCCCAACCAGCAGCUCACCUGUGGGGCGGGCGCCGUGGGGCCGCACCGUCGGCGUUGGGGCCGCGCCGUGGCCGUGGGGAGGGUCGGGAAUUUGGUGGUGGUGGGGCAGAGAGGGGGGGGUGGGGAGCAGAGAGGAGGAUUUGAGGGGAAAAAGAGGAGGGGGGAAAGAUGCAAAAAGAAAUCAACCGACCGACCCCGAUAGGGGUGGAGAGGAGAAGGCGGUGAUGCUACGGAGCCGGGGACACCCAGGCCCCCCAGGCGGUGCCGGUGCCGGUGUUGGUUCCGCCGGCGGCUGCCUGUGCCCACGCGGCGCUGCCGUCGGUGCUCCAGGCCGCGUAUUGAGCCCCGGCGUCACCGGUGCCGUACUGGGAGGCGUCGGCGGCGUACUGGGAGGCGCUGUACUGGGAGGAGGAAGAGGAGUACUGGGAGGCGUACUGGGAGUACUGGGCGUACUGGUAGGCGCUGUACUGGGAGGAGGAGGAGGAGUACUGAUGGCCGUACUGGGCGUACUGGUAGAGGCGGGACGAGGUGACGCCGGCGGGGGUGGCGGCGAAAGGGGAGGGGGAGCGAGGGGGCGUGGCCGAAGAGGCUCCGCCCACCAUGCGGUGGCAGCAGGGGGAGGUGAGGCGGCCCCCCCCCCCGCAGCCCAGGCGGUGCAGGCAGGAGGCGGAGCUUAAGCGGCCGCAGGCCCCGCCCCCCUGCUGCAGGCGGUGCAGGCAGGAGGCGGAGCUUAAGCGCGGGGAGCACGAAGCCCCGCCCCCGGCUUGGAGGCGGUGAGCGCAGGCUCCGCCCCCCAGCCCCAUUCGCCCCGCCCCACCGAAGCAAGCCCCGCCCCCGGCGCGGCAGGGAGUGGCUAAGAAGGGGGAGGCGGGGCUACGCGGGAAGCAGGCUCCGCCCCCUCGGGGCGUGGCUAAGAACGGGGAGGCGGGGCUUCGCGAGAAGGUGGCCCCGCCCCUCAGCAGCGGGAAGGGGCCGCGGGGGGAGGAGCCGAGAGAGGCCACGCCCCCGCGGGUGGGGGUGAGAGCCAAUAGGGAGCCGGGGGCGCGGGUGGGGCC
RNAcentral lists this long non-coding RNA (1139 nucleotides) under Phasianus colchicus (ring-necked pheasant). RNAcentral's name for it is "lncRNA (ENSPCLG00000016513.1)". The record is from RNAcentral. Lineage: Eukaryota; Metazoa; Chordata; Aves; Galliformes; Phasianidae.